CCCCAGCGCCUCGCGGUUCUGCUCCGGGUUCUACCCGUCCACCAGCCUAUUAAUAGGCAACAUAUUUACUUUUUGCAGCAUGCACUCGCUGUGGCAUUCUCCAGUAUCUUACCCUACAACAGGAGCGAACAAGUGCAGUUCUACAAGAGGAAGUCACCGCUGCGGCAGAGGUGUUGUGGCGCCCAGGGGUGCCCGGCCCCCGUCUCCAUCUCCUACGGGUGGUCAUAUGUGGAUAUAUCUGGACCGUAUGCUAUAACAGACACCUGGGCCUAAAUUUAGUAACAGUGAAAAUGCAAUUGGUUCUGCAAAUACCAAGAAAUCUGCCAGCAUCAAAACCUGGAGGGAGAAGAGUCUAUUUAUGCCUCUGCUUUUGGCUGGCGC
This is a long non-coding RNA of Sinocyclocheilus anshuiensis, 381 nucleotides long. RefSeq lists it as uncharacterized. NCBI's taxonomy places the organism in Eukaryota, Metazoa, Chordata, Actinopteri, Cypriniformes, Cyprinidae. The transcript has 3 exons. The record is from RefSeq and is a predicted model, not a curated record.